UACGAAGGGGGCUAGCGUUGUUCGGAAUUACUGGGCGUAAAGCGCGUGUAGGCGGGUCUUUAAGUCAGGGGUGAAAUGCCAGGGCUCAACCUUGGAACUGCCUUUGAUACUGGAGACCUUGAGUCCGGGAGAGGUGAAUGGAAUUGCGAGUGUAGAGGUGAAAUUCGUAGAUAUUCGCAAGAACACCAGUGGCGAAGGCGGCUCACUGGCCCGGAACUGACGCUGAGACGCGAAAGCGUGGGGAGCAAACAGG
RNAcentral lists this ribosomal RNA (253 nucleotides) under uncultured bacterium. RNAcentral describes it as "partial 16S ribosomal RNA". It matches the Rfam family "Bacterial small subunit ribosomal RNA", at positions 524 to 776 of the family's 1533-position model. The record is from RNAcentral.